GUGAUCAACAGAUGACCCAGGUUUCAAUUAGCAGUUGAACUUAAGAAUCGAACUAAAACUAUUCUUGUAAUGCUUAGUCAUGUAGAUAACCAAUUAGAUUCUAAAAUUAGCUGGCUUUGAAAAGACAUAUAACAUCCCCAGAUGUAGCAGAGUAAGAAGCAGAAAUGCCAGUAGCAUAAAGCUUAAUUUAAACAGAGAAGGCAUAGCUCCUAACUUUGUUAAGAACAAAAAAACUCAUUUGAUUAACAUAAACUCCAUUUCCAAAGUAAAACUUCAUAGAUUUACUCUCAAUUAUUAAUCCCAAAUGAAACCGAAAUGGGUGUUUGCAAGGCGUAAAACUAAGUCCAAGAAGCCAAGUAAAAUACGAAGAAAACAAAUAUCUACCAUUUGACUGGAAAGAGGAAAAACCCAAGUACA
Molecule: unclassified non-coding RNA, 417 nt
Filed under: Hevea brasiliensis (rubber tree)
Lineage: Eukaryota; Viridiplantae; Streptophyta; Magnoliopsida; Malpighiales; Euphorbiaceae
Source: RNAcentral